This 1482-nucleotide ribosomal RNA is filed under the name Triticum aestivum (bread wheat). RNAcentral's name for it is "partial small subunit ribosomal RNA". Lineage: Eukaryota; Viridiplantae; Streptophyta; Magnoliopsida; Poales; Poaceae. The record is from RNAcentral.
AUGGCCUCUGCCGCCGCUGCUGCUGCUAGUGCUACCACCAGCAGCAAGAAGACGAUGCUGCGCGUCCUCAUCUUCCCCUUCUUCGCCACCAGCCACAUCGAGCCCUUCACUGACCUCGCCGUCCGCCUCGUCGCCGCUGGACCUGCAGUGGAGGCCACCGUCGCCGUCACGCCGGCCAACGUCCCGGUCGUCCAGUCCUUGCUCCGGAGACGUGGGCAGCCCGAGCAUGUCAAGAUAGCCACCUACCCGUUCCCGGCCGUGGACGGACUCCCGGAGGGCGUGGAGAACCUCAGCAGGGCCACGGAGGCCGACGCGUGGCGCAUCGACGCCGCUGCCCUGAGCGAGCAUCUGACGCGCCCGGCGCAGGAGGCUCUCGCCAGGGCGCAGUCUCCGGACGCGGUCGUCACCGACGUGCACUUCGCCUGGAACGUCCGCGUCGCCGGCGAGCUCGGCGUGCCGUGCGUCGCCUUCAGCGCCAUCGGCGCCUUCCCGACGCUCGCCCUGCACCACCUCGAGCGGGAGGACGUCGACAAUGGUGAUGUGGACGUCGCCACGGUCCCCCAGUUUCCGGGCCCUAGUAUCCGGGUACCCAGGGCCGAGCUGCCGGAGUUCCUGAGGGGCCGUGGUCGGUACUCCAUGAUCAGCAAGAUUGUUCCGGUGGAGGACUGCUUCUGCCAGGCCAUGAACACCUCGUUAGAGCUGGAGCGGCAGUACUGCGAGAUGUACAUGCUCCGUGGCUACGCGAAGCGCGCCUACUUCGUGGGCCCUCUCUUCUCGUCGUCCUCACCAUCCCAUUCCCCGGCCGGCGGCGUGGACGACCAACAGCCACCGUGCAUCGGCUGGCUGGACUCGAAGCCGGGCCGUUCGGUGGUGUACCUGUGCUUCGGCAGCCUGACCCACGUCUCCGACGCUCAGCUGCGCCAGCUCGCUCUCGGGCUGGAGGCCGCCGGGAAGCCGUUCCUGUGGGUGGUGAGGGACGCCGGGAACUGGACACCGCCGGAGGGGUGGUCCGAGCGUGUGGGAGACCGAGGGCUCCUCGUCACGGCGUGGGCCCCGCAGACGGCGAUACUGGGGCACCCGGCGGUUGGCGCGUUCGUGACGCACUGUGGGUGGAACUCCGUCCUGGAGACGGUGAUGGCGGGGGUGCCAGUGCUGACGUGGCCCAUGGUGUUCGAGCAGUUCAUCACCGAGAGGUUGGUGACGGAGGUGCUGGGCAUUGGGGAGCGCUUGUGGCCGUGCGGCGCCGGCCUGCGGAGCACCAGGCAUGAGGAGCACGAGGUGGUCCCCGCCGGAGACGUGGCACGUGCCGUGACGGCGUUCAUGCUCCCUGGAGGGGCAGGGGACGCGGCGAGGAGCAGGGUGAUGGACCUCGCCGCCAAGUGUCGUGCCGCCGUUGCGGAAGGGGGCUCCUCCCACCGUGAUCUGCGUCGUCUCGUCGAUGAUCUCAUGGAAGCAAGAGCCAAGAAGAACUGCCUUGCUUAA